CUGCUACUCACUCCGUCCGAAAAUACUUGUCAUCAAAAUGGAUAAAAAGAGGUGUAUCUAGACCUCUUUUUAUCCAUUUUGAUGACAAGUAUUUUCGGAUGGAGAGAGUAGAAU
Triticum aestivum (bread wheat) is the source of this 114-nucleotide non-coding RNA. The record is from Rfam. NCBI's taxonomy places the organism in Eukaryota, Viridiplantae, Streptophyta, Magnoliopsida, Poales, Poaceae.